RNAcentral lists this ribosomal RNA (253 nucleotides) under uncultured bacterium. RNAcentral describes it as "partial 16S ribosomal RNA". It matches the Rfam family "Bacterial small subunit ribosomal RNA", at positions 524 to 776 of the family's 1533-position model. The record is from RNAcentral.
UACGGGGGGAGCAAGCGUUGUUCGGAUUUACUGGGCGUAAAGCGUGCGCAGGCGGUGAUGUAAGACAGAUGUGAAAUCCCCGGGCUCAACCUGGGAACUGCAUUUGUGACUGCAUCGCUGGAGUGCGGCAGAGGGGGAUGGAAUUCCGCGUGUAGCAGUGAAAUGCGUAGAUAUGCGGAGGAACACCGAUGGCGAAGGCAAUCCCCUGGGCCUGCACUGACGCUCAUGCACGAAAGCGUGGGGAGCAAACAGG